UCCCCGUUAACCGGGGCAGUCCCCCUAGAGUUCCCGGCCUGACCCGUUGGCAACUAGGGGCGAGGGUUGCGCUCGUUGCGGGACUUAACCCAACACCUCACGGCACGAGCUGACGACGGCCAUGCAGCAGCUGUGCAUGCUCCCUUGCAGGUCGGUCACCUUUCGGAUCCCUACCACAUGCAUGUCAAACCCAGGUAAGGUUCUUCGCGUUGCAUCGAAUUAAACCACACGCUCCGCUGCUUGUGCGGGCCCCCGUCAAUUCCUUUGAGUUUUAAUCUUGCGACCGUACUCCCCAGGCGGAUGACUUCACGCGUUAGCUGCGUUACUAAGGGAUUUAACUCCCCCAACAACUAGUCAUCAUCGUUUAGGGCGUGGACUAC
Molecule: unclassified non-coding RNA, 380 nt
Filed under: uncultured bacterium
Lineage: Bacteria
Description: contains 16S-23S intergenic spacer region
Source: RNAcentral